This 383-nucleotide ribosomal RNA is filed under the name uncultured organism. RNAcentral describes it as "partial 16S ribosomal RNA". It matches the Rfam family "Bacterial small subunit ribosomal RNA", at positions 527 to 895 of the family's 1533-position model. The record is from RNAcentral.
GUAGGUGGCAAGCGUUGUCCGGAAUUAUUGGGCGUAAAGCGCGCGCAGGUGGGGUUCUUUAAGUCUGAUGUGAAAAGCCCCCGGGCUCAACCGGGGAGGGUCAUUGGAAACUGGGGAACUUGAGUGCAGGAGAGGAAAGUGGAAUUCCACGUGUAGCGGUGAAAUGCGUAGAUAUGUGGAGGAACACCAGUGGCGAAGGCGACUUUCUGGCCUGUAACUGACACUGAGGCGACGAAAGCGGUGGGGAGACAAACAGGAUUAGAUACCCUGGUAGUCCACGACCGUAAACGAUGAGUGCUAAGUGGUUUCGGGGGGUUUCCCGCCCCUCAGUGCUGCAGCUAACGCAUUAAGCACUCCGCCGUGGGGAGUACGGUCGCAAGACU